GAGGAGGAGGAGGAAGAGGAAGAGGAGGAGGAGAAAGAGGAAGAGGAGGAGAACUUAAGCCAUGUAGAGGGUAGGCUUAAAAAAAUCCACUGUGUCAUGAGAAGAAUGAAGAAAGAUCUCUAGAGUAGCCUGGAUCUCCGUUUUGGGAGGCAUAGAAACCUGCUGAGGAGAGAUGGAGCCAUCCCCAAGCCUGAGAAGAUGAGCAUAAUUGACUUAUACCAAACACUUCACUGCUCACUGUGGAUGAAAGAUGAACAACCACACAUCUCCUUUCCUUGAAAAGCCCAUGGGGUCAAAGCAGGGGUGAUGAUCCACAUGGAAGUAUUAUCAAGUCUUGGAUCCAGUUCUCUCAGCAAAGCAUAGAGCUGCCACUGAGUUAAUAAAGAAAUAAAAUUCCUAGACAUUACCUCAUGACACAGAGUCCAUGAAAAUGUACCAAGUUUGGUCCUUUCUAGCCAAGUUCGCUUUGGGAGGUGACUAUGCUAUCACACUCAGUCCUUAACGUUUUCCCUACAUUCUCCAGAGGAAUCCCUUGCCUGGGUGCCCUCUGAAUGAGUCACCCGGCAGAGCUACUUCAAAAGGAGAACAGGUUUGAUGACUGGUUUUCUUUUCUGAGUAGGAGGAUUAAGAGUAGUGGCUUGCUUAGCUAUGAAUCAGCAAAAAUAAGGAAAGUACAUAUUGGACCCCGUGCUCCUUCUUAGCCAACCAUGACUUCUGAAGGAGACCAGAGCCCUGGUGGAGAAUAUCACUGGUCCACCAGUCUCAAGACCUCCUCUUGGUUCCACAUGAACCAUAAAUGUACAAAGUCACCAAACUUAAAGGUAUUAAUUUUAUCACUGGUCUGCUGUCUUAGUUAGGGUUCACUAGAGGAACAGAUUUAAUAUAAAAUAUGCAAUCACCACCUGUGCAAUCAAGGGUGAAAAAAUGAAAAAUGGCUGCCUACACUGGAGGCCUGGAGGAUCCAGUUGAAGACUGAAGGCCAAGAGCUCACUGUAGAGUCCAAUAUGAGUCUUUGUUAGAAAUCCAAAGGGUCUACAUUCGAAAGCUGAAGAGUCUGCCCUGGAAGCUUCAAGGAACUAAAGAUGAACAUCCAAAUGGAAUGGCAAAGACUGGAGCUCCUCAAAGAAGAGAAGGAAAGACUUCCUUCUUUUCCUUCUUAUUCUGUGCAGCCUAUAAGCCUGUUGGUUAGUGCUAUGCAUAUCUGUGGUGUGCCUUUCCUCUUUAGUUUGAUCUACUUACCAGUUAUCUUCAGACAUACCCAGAGCUUUACUGAUCUGCUAGGUAUUUCUUACUCAAGCCAAGUUGACGUAACACAAUUAAUGAUCACAUCUACCUUUUGUAGAAAUUGCUGGGAACUGGUAUUUCUUUCCUAACAUACAAGCCUUCCUGUCCUCCCUUACACAUUUUUGCCUAUUCUCCCAUCACCAUGCAUUUAGAGAUAUCCUGGCCUUCUGCUAGUUGUACAAUGUGUAUUUGUCCUUCCUCCAGAGACAUUGUUACAAGAGCCUGACGUCUUGGGAAUGCAUCCCAGAGGUUCUACUUUAAGCUUUUGGGUUCACUUAUGAUGACUCCCUGUGGCUCAGUUUCUGCAUCUAUAAAAUGAAGAUUUACCACCCUUCCCAGAUUCCCAUGGGCUUCCAAUUUAUCAGUGUGCAUCACUGAUCCUAUCUGUACUGUUCCCCACACAGACCAUAUUUGUGGACCACAAGCCUGGCAACCAUGAUAUUUCAGACUCAUUCUGCAUCUGGGCUUAUGUACUUUGUGAAAAGUCAUCAAAUUGUACCUAUUAUUUAUGCCUAUAUACCAUGCUUCAAUAAAGUAUUUACUUAAAA
Molecule: non-coding RNA, 1832 nt
Organism: Heterocephalus glaber (naked mole-rat)
Lineage: Eukaryota; Metazoa; Chordata; Mammalia; Rodentia; Bathyergidae
Source: RefSeq, a predicted model, not a curated record